Molecule: ribosomal RNA, 380 nt
Filed under: uncultured eukaryote
Lineage: Eukaryota
Description: partial 18S ribosomal RNA
Rfam family: Eukaryotic small subunit ribosomal RNA
Source: RNAcentral
CAAUAGCGUAUAUUAAAGUUGUUGCAGUUAGAACGCUCGUAGUCGGAUUUCGGGGCGGGCCGACCGGUCUGCCGAUGGGUACGCACUGGUCGGCGCGUCCUUCCUUCCGGAGACCGCCUCUGUUCUUAACUGAAUGGGUGCGGGAGACGGAUCGUUUACUUUGAAAAAAUCAGAGUGUUUCAAGCAGGCAGCUCGCUCUUGCAUGGAUUAGCAUGGGAUAAUGAAAUAGGACUUUGGUGCUAUUUUGUUGGUUUCGAACACCGAAGUAAUGAUUAAAAGGGACAGUCAGGGGCACUCGUAUUCCGCCGAGAGAGGUGAAAUUCUCAGACCAGCGGAAGACGAGCCACUGCGAAAGCAUUUGCCAGGGAUGUUUUCACUGA